ACGGUCCGGUUCCGCGUGCCUCUCGAACGAGACGAGCCAUCAGUCCGUAGCGACGCGUCCCCGGGGCAAGUCGCUACACAAUGUUGUCACGUUGUUUGUCAGGUUUUCGUCUGGAUGCCAUGGUGUAUCAUGGAUUCGCGAUACUCGUUUUGUUUUCUGUUCUCCUCGUGUCGUGUCCUGUUACCUGUCAAGAGACGUUAACGAAUCGGAUGCGUGUAAUCAGCGAGGAUCUGGACCGGCAGCUAAACGGAAUCAUGGCCUUGCAAGCUCUCAACUACACGACGAUGAACACAACUGGACUGCCAUACAACGCCACCACGAAGUUCAACCCCAAGGGCAUGGGCCAGCUGUACAACGUGACCAACACGUUCAUCGACUUCGUGCAGAGCAAACAAGCAUAUCCAGAGGGAAUGUUUAGCGUUAUAGAUGGAAUACCAGCAUUCCAGUACACCCUGUCCGAAUGGAGGAUCAUCGUGACUCAUUACGGUGGUCUGGCAGGUCUAGCUUUCGUUGGUCUUCUGUUGGCGGCGAUUUUACCCUGCGUCGGAUUAUUCUUCUGUUGCUGCAGAUGCGCUGGCCAUUGCGGUGCUAGGAGUCAACCGUUCGACAAGAAACACGAUCAUUGUAGAAAAGUGUUACUGAGUAUGGUGCUGAUCGCAGUGGCUACUAUUAUAUUGUUUGGCGUAGUCUGUGCGUUCGUGACGAACGAGUACAUGCAAGAUGGCACCAAGGAACUACCGAGCAACGUCAAGACCAGCCUGAAGGACGUGAAACUAUACCUAAGCACCACCAAGCAGGAGAUCAAUAAUCUUCUCAAAACUAAUUUCGACGAACUCGAAAUUAAUUUAAACAACAUCCUGCAAGCGAGUGGCCGAAUCGUGACUGAACAGCUUGCCGAAUAUUCCCAUGCAGUCUCUUUGACUAAUCUCAGCGACAUUGUAGCUGGAUUAGAGUCCAUCAAGGAAGACUUGAAGACCAUGCAUACAAUCACGAGGGAUUUAAGGACGAAUGCUAGUCAAUUAGACAUUGUGGUACGAGGCGUUAAAAACAAUCUUCUUCACACGCUCGCCGCAUGCAAGACCCAACAUUGCAAACAGGUGUUGAACGACUACAAAGUGAAUCAAAUGUCUGUUCAAGUCGACUUCGACAAGUACAUGGACCGAUAUUUCCCGAAGUUGCCAAACGUCACUUCGGCGUUGCACAACAUCACCAUGUUGAUGAAAGGUAACAUCGUGUCAGAAGUCAGCCAGGGUAAAGAAUCAUUCCUGAAGAUACAGAAGGAUAUUCAGCACGCGGUGAAUCAAACCAUUCCUGUAGUCAGCGCAAGUAUUAGAAGAGCCGGAGUCUUUUUAACCGAUCUGGCUGAUAACAUGACGAUGCUUAUUGACAGAAUAAACGUUGACAUCGAUAAAAUUUAUAUUAAGAACAUGGAUGUUGUUCGAACACACAUUGAUCAAUAUGCGCCAUACAGGUACUAUCUGGGUCUUGGGAUAUCGGGAAUUCUAUUGACCGUUUUAAUGUGUCUGACAUUUGGUCUGUUCUGUGGAAUUUGUGGAAAACGACCUGAUGGUUACGGCGACGACUGCUGCAACAAAGGAUCAGGUGCACGAUUUCUGAUGAUGGCUGUUUGGAUUAUAUUCCUUUUAACGAGCGUUCUAAUGGUAAUCACCGUUGCACACAUGGUUACCGGUGUCCUGGUUCAACGAGCGAUCUGCGAGCCUUUGAAGAAUCCUCAAGACAACCGAAUGUUCGCUCUACUCGACGGAACUGUUCAGAUAAAAAAGUUACUGUAUCGUAAUAAUCCGAAUGCCGACAUAAACAUGAGCUAUAUUCUCACAAACUGCCACCGAAACGAGUCGUUGUACAAGGUGUUGAAGUUGAACAAUCUGUUCGACGUGGACACAUUGCGCGAAUACACUGGCCGUUACGAUAUCAAUAACACCAUCCAACAAUUACGUCGUAAAAUUAGUUUAUCACCGGGUGUGGUGAUUCUCACGGACAGCGCCAAAUCGAAGUUGAACGAUCUCGCGCAGAGCGGUCUCAGCGACAUCAAAUUUUAUCAAUACGCAGAGAUCCUUGCCGACAAUAUCACCAACAUCAACUUAGAACAUUUGGCAAGACAGUUAUGGGAGGUCUCUGCCAAAUUACCCGAAGGACAAGAGGACAUUCGAGUCAGUUUGGAGAAAAAUGCAAUGGACCUGGAACAUUAUCAUAGAGAUUUGGUAGUGCCAAUGUCAACGCUCAGCGAACAGUUAGCCACGAAGGCUUUGGCUCUCGAAGAGAAGAUAAAGUUUAAUCAUAGUUCGAUGGCGGAUGCCAUUCACGACCUCGUUGACGAAGUUACGAAAGCUCAGCAGUUCCUCAACAAAGACGGUCCAGAAUACGUGCAAUAUCUAGCAACUAGAUUUGGAAACGCUUUUCUUCGUCAAGUCGAUGACUUCCUCGAGCGAGUGAUCGAUCACGCGCUAUUUCACAUCGGCAAAUGCGCCCCUGUUUCAAACGCGUACAAUGCCACGUUAGUCGCAGGCUGUAACAGGAUUUUAGAUCCGUUUAACGGUUUCUGGGCAAGUGUCGGAUGGUGUUUAAUCCUUUUCAUUCCAACCAUAGUACUCUGCGUGAAGCUGAGUGCGUUAUAUCAAAAAUCGGACCCUUACCCUGGACCUUUAGUCGAAGCUGAAUAUUUGUAUGACGCGUACGCAGACAGGGAUAACAUACCCCUUACUCAUGUUCACGACAAGAAAUACGUAUCUCAUAGUAGAGACCCUUACGCCAAAUACGAAAGUUACGAUGGGCCUGCAGGAGGAUACAGCGAGCGAGAAAGGGUCAAUGAUGCCCAUCAAAGCACAUCCCAUUAUCACCAUCACUAUUCCAGAUAUUCUGAUGUAGCGCCAAAUUCAACCCCUUCGUGGCGAAGCCACGAAACUACCGCUCCCUCCAAAACUGAACCUCACAAUAAAGUCUUUAGCAUAUCGAUAGAAGCGCAGUGAGUGGGAACCUUGCGGGGGGGCAACUUCUCGCGUCUCUCGAAACGCCUCUGCACAAAUUGUGAUUUUCCUAACGGUGGACCUCCUGGAUAUCAACCAGCUGCAGCUGCUCCGCCGCCUUUGAGCACAGAAUACGAAAGA
Molecule: unclassified non-coding RNA, 3125 nt
Filed under: Megachile rotundata (alfalfa leafcutting bee)
Lineage: Eukaryota; Metazoa; Arthropoda; Insecta; Hymenoptera; Megachilidae
Description: prominin-like protein, transcript variant X1
Source: RNAcentral